GGGAAUAUUGGGCAAUGGGCGCAAGCCUGACCCAGCAACACCGCGUGAGGGAAGAAGGCUUUCGGGUUGUAAACCUCUGUCCUUGGUGACGAAAAAAAUGACGGUAGCCAAGGAGGAAGCCCCGGCUAACUACGUGCCAGCACCGCGGUAAUACUAGGGGGCGAGCGUUGUCCGGAAUUACUGGGCGUAAAGGGUGCGUAGGUGGCCUUUUAAGUUGGAUGUGAAAUACCCGGGCUUAACUUGGGGGGUGCAUCCAAAACUGGGAGGCUAGAGUGCAGGAGAGGAAAGCGGAAUUCCUAGUGUAGCGGUGAAAUGCGUAGAUAUUAGGAGGAACACCAGUGGCGAAGGCGGCUUUCUGGACUGUAACUGACACUGAGGCACGAAAGCGUGGGGAGCAAACAGGAUUAGAUACCCUGGUAGUCCACGCGGUAAACGAUGAAUACUAGGUGUAGGGGGUAUCAACUCCCCCUGUGCCGGAGCUAACGCAAUAAGUAUUCCGCCUGGGGAGUACGG
RNAcentral lists this ribosomal RNA (513 nucleotides) under uncultured bacterium. RNAcentral's name for it is "bacterial SSU rRNA". It matches the Rfam family "Bacterial small subunit ribosomal RNA", at positions 357 to 885 of the family's 1533-position model. The record is from RNAcentral.